UUUUUUUUUCAUCACUCUAUCUUAUACUCAAAAAUAAAAUACCAUUGAAUCAAACUUAAAUUAUAUUAUAGAGUUAUUCUAAUUUAGAGUAAAAAAUAAAGUAAACAAUUGAUGGUCUGGAGAAAGUGCAUGUAACUUUUACAAAUAAAGUUCAUAUCUUGUUUUGCAUGUCAAUUAAUAUACAGAUCAUAUACGUCAGUUUGGUAAAGUAAUCAUUUGACUAGUAUUAAAUGAAAUUAUAUACGUUAUCUAUUAUUUUCUAUUUGACUUCAAUUUUGUUUAAAUUUGUAACUUUUUUUUUUUUGAGAAAGGGAUUUUAAUUUUUUUUAACUCUUUAAGAUUAUAUAUGACAAUAUAAGCAAGCAAUUGUUUAAUAACAUAACCGCAUUUUAAAGGUGAUAUAUUAAAAUGUAAUAUAUUUUUCCUCCUUUUGGUCAAAUAUAUUUUACCUCUUUAAGGUGACAAUAUCUGAGUUUUGAUUUCAGUAUAACACUAUAUAUAGGCAAUUUGACCAAUAGAACAAACAUUACAUCUUAACUAAGAUCGUCUAAGAUAAACGAAAGAUGAUUUCUAAGACCAUUUUCGUAUGCAUAUUCGUCUUCUCCUUCUUUGCUCUACAUCAAUGCAACCAAAUGGAUGUUGGAGAAAUAGAGAGCAAGCUCGUUAUUCCAAAAUGUAUCCAUAGAAGAUGUUCAGAUCAAGGCUUUUUCCAAAGAGAUUGUUGGUGCUGUAUGAAAGAUCGAACGCUCCCUUGUUUCAAAGAACAAAUUGAUUGCGAUUCAGAUAGGCGUUGUCCUCCUAUACAAUUAAGACUUUAGAAAAUCAAUGUAAUAUUAUUAUUUUUUCAAAUCUAUAUAAAUGCCAUUGUCCAAACAA
Long non-coding RNA from Brassica napus (rape), 876 nucleotides. RefSeq lists it as uncharacterized. The record is from RefSeq and is a predicted model, not a curated record. Lineage: Eukaryota; Viridiplantae; Streptophyta; Magnoliopsida; Brassicales; Brassicaceae. The transcript is spliced from 2 exons.